This 154-nucleotide ribosomal RNA is filed under the name uncultured bacterium. RNAcentral's name for it is "partial 16S ribosomal RNA". It matches the Rfam family "Bacterial small subunit ribosomal RNA", at positions 355 to 504 of the family's 1533-position model. The record is from RNAcentral.
UGGGGAAUAUUGGACAAUGGGCGCAAGCCUGAUCCAGCCAUGCCGCGUGAGUGAUGAAGGCCCUAGGGUUGUAAAGCUCUUUCACUUGGGAAGGGUUGCAGAUUAAUACUCUGUAGCUGUGACAUUACCUUGAGAAGAAGCACCGGCUAACUCC